This is a small nuclear RNA of Jaculus jaculus (lesser Egyptian jerboa), 107 nucleotides long. The record is from Ensembl. Lineage: Eukaryota; Metazoa; Chordata; Mammalia; Rodentia; Dipodidae.
AUGUUCACUUUGGCCGCAUAUACACUAAAACUGGAACAUUAAAGACAAGAUUAGCAUGGUCCCUGAGCAGGGAUGACACGUAAAUUCAUCAAACGUCCCAUGUUUUA